CACCACUCAAGCCUCGCUUGGUAUUGGGCGACGCGGUACGCCGCGCGCCUCAAAUCUUUCGGCUGGGUCUGAAUCGUCCCUCAGCGUUGUGGAAACUAUUCGCUAAAGGGUUCGCUUUCGGUCACGCCGUUAAACAAAACCAUUUUCAUUAAA
Molecule: unclassified non-coding RNA, 153 nt
Filed under: uncultured Rachicladosporium
Lineage: Eukaryota; Fungi; Ascomycota; Dothideomycetes; Capnodiales
Description: sequence contains ITS2
Source: RNAcentral